GAUGAACGCUGGCGGCGUGCCUAAUACAUGCAAGUCGAGCGAACAGAUGAGGAGCUUGCUCCUCUGACGUUAGCGGCGGACGGGUGAGUAACACAUGGAUAACCUACCUAUAAGACUGGGAUAACUUCGGGAAACCGGAGCUAAUACCGGAUAAUAUAUUGAACCGCAUGGUUCAAUAGUGAAAGACGGUUUUGCUGUCACUUAUAGAUGGAUCCGCGCCGCAUUAGCUAGUUGGUAAGGUAACGGCUUACCAAGGCAACGAUGCGUAGCCGACCUGAGAGGGUGAUCGGCCACACUGGAACUGAGACACGGUCCAGACUCCUACGGGAGGCAGCAAUAGGGAAUCUUCCGCAAUGGGCGAAAGCCUGACGGAGCAACGCCGCGUGAGUGAUGAAGGUCUUCGGAUCGUAAAACUCUGUUAUUAGGGAAGAACAAAUGUGUAAGUAACUAUGCACGUCUUGACGGUACCUAAUCAGAAAGCCACGGCUAACUACGUG
RNAcentral lists this ribosomal RNA (497 nucleotides) under uncultured bacterium. RNAcentral describes it as "partial 16S ribosomal RNA". It matches the Rfam family "Bacterial small subunit ribosomal RNA", at positions 28 to 507 of the family's 1533-position model. The record is from RNAcentral.